CGGUCCGCGGCGCGGAUGGCUGGACUGGUUCCCGGCAGAGCUGGGAGCGCAGGCUCCGCAGGGUGCGGGCUAGGGGUGCUGACGGGGUUGGGGGGGUGGUGUGUGCAGCAUCAGAGCGUCCCCUCCCAAGUUCCCAGGCGCUUGUCCUUGGGGAGGGGAGUUAGGAGCAGAAGGACCUCGGGUUCUGGGGCCCAGGCCGCCUGCCCGAGUGCUCUGGGGACCUGAAGCACUGGGCAGCAGAAGGCCAGGAGCUCAAGUGGCAUGCCCCGCCCUAUUUCCAUCCCAGGAACUCCUAAUUCCAGACCAAACUGACAAUUUUUAGGACUCAUCUCUGCCCUGGGCAAGGCAGUGCCCAGGCCUUGAUCCAUGCAAAGGGCAAAGCCGCCCGACUCUAACGCAGAGCUGUGAGCCUGAAGGGCCGCGCUGGACAUGGCCAGAGAAAGACUUUUCUUUUUCCAACUUCGGCGUUUGGUUUUGUGUGUCCACCACGCGCAGCUCCGGAGCUGGCAGACCCCAAAUGGAUUCUCAACAGGUGGCCAAGAUUCCAGGAACGCAGUGGUCCCCGCAGGAUCCCUGCGAGAGCAGCUUCGAGUCGCAGGGGUGCUACCCGCAUCCCCAUCCUCGCACGCCGGAAGCCAGCGCUCCCGCCGGCUUCAGAGCCUGGAAGACGCGCGGGCCCGCAAGGAGGCUCCGGGCGGAGGGAAAAGUCUCAAGGCUUUCGCAGCACGACCCCGAGCUACCCUCCGUGGUACCCUUCUUCCUGCUCCAGGCCCCUAGGCCUCUCCAAGGGCUCUAAGGGAUGGCGUGGCCCCAGGGUGCCUGGGCUUGGCCGGGGAGCACCCUCCUGAGGCCGCAGAACCCAGCACGCCGAGGCGGGGGAGGGAGGAGGGGCCGAGGGGGCGGGCCCAGGCCAGUUCCCAGUUACAAAUACAGACGCUCCCGGGGAGGCCGAGGAGGAGAGUUUCGCCCCCAAACACGUAGAUCACUCACCCGAGGCGCCUUGUUUUCCACUCUUGGGUCCUGCAGUUUCCCCAGGAUCCCGUGACGCACUGGCCCAGUUGGCCAGCGUGGUGGCGGGGUGUGCCCGAGAGUCUUGAGGAGACCCCCCUCCUCCCCUGUGGCUUAGCCUGGCCUGGCCAAAAUCCACCAGAAGAGAGCCCAGAGGCUGUCUCAACCCUUCCGAUGGGAGCAAGGCGCAGGAUCGUCGGAGGAUCGCCCUCCUCCUGGAAAGUUAAGAAGAUGGGGAGAUGAAGGUGUAAGAGAGGCCUAGAAGGCCCCGGGGCAGAAGGCCUUAUUAACCUGGCACCCCACCUAAAGCCCCGGGUUUACACUUGCACACUUCCUUCUCCCCAUGCAGACUCAGGAGGUCGCACAUAUUCGAUAUCAGGCUUGAGCUGAGUCACCUGACUGUACACAGAACAUAUAUGCAGCUGUACCCGAAUACGUACCCGAGAAUUAGAGGAACACUAACAGCAGGAUCGGAAGAAAAAAAGAAGUGUUCGCAGACAGAAUUAUUCCAAUGCACGGGUGCACAUCGAGUUGUCCAGAUGCAGACAAAAGCUGUGGUGCCCACAAGGAAUGACCCCAGCCACAGGCAGAUGUGCAGGAAGCCACACAAAGGGAGAGCCUGAAGGAGGAUGCAGGACUCGGGGCCAAGGGCUUCCUGCUAGAGGGACGUUGGCUUCCAAGGGUGAAACUGUUGAGCCAACCAGUUAAAGGUUUCAGGUCAAGUUCUGGAGACUAGAAAGAGCACAACGUCCAUCCACCGCUGAUCCUUUUGCCUUCCACUAAGCUGGGCUUUAGACACUCAGAAGAGGGCAACCCAGGAAAGAAUCAUUUUGAUUCGGGUUAUUUAUUUGUUACUAUUGUUGGUUAAGGAGAUUGUGUUCUGAAGAAGGAUGGGUGGGGAGCAUAGAUGGAUGCCCUAACUCAAUGCUGGGAGAUUCCUAAUUCUUAAUGGGAACAUUCGGCUCCAACGAGGGUUCAAGAAGCCAGGGGCCCUUAUUUUGCCUCUUUCUCACCUUUCAUUGCUAAAUGCAGUCCUUAAAAAGAACCUUCGCCUAGCUCCACGCCCUCCUGUCCUCACUUCCAUCCCAAUCCCCUUUAUAUCAAAUAUGUCCACAAACGAACACUCCCAAGCAAACUGAACUAUUUUAUUACACUAAUUUUCUUUGUGGGAUAUUGGGGUAUUCUCACCCCCUCCUACCCAUUUCCAAACAGAAGCCACCAUCCUGAGAGUUUCAAAGAGUGGCUGUUCCAAAAGGCCUUAGCAAGUGCACAGGCUUGAUGCUACCUUCAGCUCCUUUUGCCUUCCAGACAGUAGCCACCACAAGUUUCCCCGCAAAAGAGGCAGGCACCCUGGAUGCAAAGUCGCCCUUCUUUCCACUUCACCUCCCCCACCCCAGCUCUCUCUCUGAAAGUCGAGGGUGCAUUUGGGAAGAUUCUUUUAGACAAAAAGAGGGGGAGGGAAGAGGACUCUCUGGGCUAGCAAGUGGAUGACUCCCCUCCAAGGGGCUGAGGAAGAUUUUUCUUGUGAAGAAGAGAUGAACCACUCCCUAAACAGGACAGGGGGACACUUUGAAGCAGAUCCAGUUGUCCAAGAAAUGUAGGGUGAGGAGUGGGAAGUAUGAGGAAUUUCUUCCCUUUUGGAGGCUAACAUGUGUGUCUCCCCCACCCCCAAUCCUGGAAAUUUUAGCAAGAGAUGUUCUGGUAGAUGUUUCAAACAAUAAAGACUGAAAAU
This 2740-nucleotide long non-coding RNA is filed under the name Sus scrofa (pig). Its description in RNAcentral is "lncRNA (ENSSSCG00030035352.1)". Lineage: Eukaryota; Metazoa; Chordata; Mammalia; Artiodactyla; Suidae. The record is from RNAcentral.